Molecule: long non-coding RNA, 1446 nt
Filed under: Sus scrofa (pig)
Lineage: Eukaryota; Metazoa; Chordata; Mammalia; Artiodactyla; Suidae
Description: lncRNA (ENSSSCG00050029408.1)
Source: RNAcentral
UCUAUUUCUAUAAGGAAGGACUUUGGUGGAGACGUGGCUCUUAUAACUGAUGUUUAUGUAAUGGGACCACAAUUGAACUUUGAGGAUUUAGAGCAAUCUAAUUCUGCAACCUUGAACUUGGCCUUUCUAGGCGAAAUGAAAUAGAUAACAUCCAAUCUUUAAGGAGCAUUUGCUAUGUUCUGGGUGCUCUACCAAGUGUGUCAAGGCAGUUUCUCAUUGAACCCUCACAGCAACCCAGUGAUACGGAUGAAUUAUUCCUGAGAAAAAAGCAGCGAUAGGUGAAGACACUUGUUCAAGGUCACAUAGUCCUAGCCCCUGUGAUAGAGCCCGGUCUGAAACCAGGCCCAAAGGACUCCGUGCUUUUAAGCAACACUCCAUAUUUCACAGUGGGAGCUCCAUGUCUAUGAAAUGGAAGCACUAACCUGUGUUGGUCCGAAACAGAUUUUAGCUUACUCAGGUCCAUGGCAACCUGAGCGUUUGGGUGGUGCUCUGAUGCCAACCCCUUUAUAGCUCAAUCUUCCCUUGUCUCCAUAUUAUUUACUCAGAAUCUUAUUUGCAUUUGCGGAGGAAGCUGCUAGUGGAGAAGCUGGCAGGAGCCUUAAUGAAGCCAGGUGGGACCCAUUGAGACGGGGCUGCGUUGAACUAACUCAUGAGGCGCUGAAGCCAGCUGUCAGCAGGCUUAAUGAAAGGUUAAGAGGAAUCCGGCAAUGGGUGGCUGGGGAGAGUCUUUGUCUCUCUUAAGAAAACAAAAAGUUGAGAUGUGGGCUCCCUGGGUGGAGGCCAGAGCAGAAGGAGGAAGCCACUUGUAACCGAAAGACUGCGUUUGAAAUAGAGUUUCAUUUAGAUUUGUGAACAUGUUACCGUCUUAAAAAAAAAAAAAAAAAAAAGAAAGCACUCUGAGUUCUCAGCUCUCUGAGCAUCAAAGGACAGCAAAGGGAAGUUUUCCGGAAUAUGAUGAAUGCUAAUGCCACUGCUAAGGAGCUUGGGGAGCCUUGGAGAUGGCUGCCUGCAAAACAGAAGAGUCGUAUUGAAUGUUGCAGCUGCCACUGUGCCCCCUCCAGGGUAGUCUACUCGCAAGGAAGUGGAGCUCAUAUAUGAGAAUGAAGAACAAACCCCUGUGACGUUGGUUGAGUCUUAAUUAUGCCAAGACUGUAAGUAUGACCUUAGACUAUUCAUGCUCCAUGAUAUGAAGAGUUAAAUUCCUAUUUUGCUCAAGUUAGUUCAAAUUGGGUUUCCUGCCAUUCGAAACGGAAAGAGUUUUAAUUAAAAUGGGUAGUCAACUCCCCAUUAACAGUAGUAUUCACACAGAGUAAUCAUACUUCAGAGUAAGUAUGAAGGGGAUGCCUAGGUUAUGUGAAAGACUGGCUUGAGGACUUCCAUCUCCAAAUUCUUGGCUUCUCCGAAACUCUCUUUUAUUUAGCUUUUGUUCUACCCAAUGGACUGGUA